RNAcentral lists this long non-coding RNA (418 nucleotides) under Mytilus galloprovincialis (Mediterranean mussel). The record is from RNAcentral. Lineage: Eukaryota; Metazoa; Mollusca; Bivalvia; Mytilida; Mytilidae.
CUCACAUUUUCGUAUUUGUUAGCAAUACCAUCUUUGAUCAUGGCAAUAUCAUAUUUUUCUGAGAUAAGCAGCGAAUUUUAUUCCAUAAAUCCAUUAGGUUCUAUUAAGAUUGCGGAGGUAUGGAAGAACGUUGAACAAGAGGAAAAACUAUAUUUUGGUUAUACCAAAUUUGCACUAAAGUUUCUACAUCGAAUGAGUUUAUUUUUCAACUUGGAUUUAUGGGCAACAUUUUUAACAUUUCCGUGUUCAAGUGAAAGCUGCCUAUCUAAAAUGUGUAACAUAAUCAUAGUAUGUGGUGCUAUUAUUUUAAACUUCUGUCUAUACUUUUUGUUCCUAAUGGUUCCAGGUAUAUAUUUCGUACUAGAAUGUUUCUUAUGUUUACCUGUCAAAAUCGCGGGUCUUAUUAUUUGUAGCGAGA